Molecule: long non-coding RNA, 1423 nt
Organism: Mugil cephalus (flathead mullet)
Lineage: Eukaryota; Metazoa; Chordata; Actinopteri; Mugiliformes; Mugilidae
Exons: 4
Source: RefSeq, a predicted model, not a curated record
AGUUGAUCAUUUACUAAAAAUCACUGAUAAAUUCUGAUCUUAUGACAUGAAGUGAAGAACACUUGUACACAUAUUUGUAUUUGUCUCUUUUCCAGAUGCAUGCAGUAACAGGUUGGUCCAACACUCUUGUCUCAUCUUGAUCAUCAUAACAAUACUUUCCAUGUUCCUUAUUAAACUCCUUCAUGCUUUAGUCUCUCUCAGUCUCUGAACAUCAACCAAGGCUCUGCUACACAGCAAACAGUGAACCAGAAUGAAACUCAAGUUUACUCCUCUCUUCUCCAUGCUGAUGUUUGUGUCUAUGAAUCAAUCAGAGGCUCUGGAAACACAGGAAGUGGGAUGCAGGAUGACAUGGAGAGCUCUGACUACAAUAAUGUGAAUCCUGAAUCAGUGAAAGGUCCAUAAAGAGAAGAGCAUCGUCAGCAAAGCAAGAGACUCAUGGACAAUGACACGAAAAACAACGGGUUGACAACAGUUCAGUCCAUCCUUUCUGUUCAGAUGGGUGCGCAGUGUUUGAAAGAUUUACAUGAUCUCGCACAAUUCUUGGAGAUCUGACCUGAAAAGUUAAGACUGCUCUGGUGAUUUGUGUUUGUGUUCAUUAUCUCUUCUCUGUCUCAGUCAUUGUUUUUUACACGCAUGGAUUUUCUAGUCAAUUAUAUCACAGUAUGUCAUGAUGUUGCAUUUUUAUGAUUUUGUGUAGUGAUUAUAUAUAAAUAUACCUUGGUUUUAUAUUGUUUAAAGUCGUCAGCUACAGAUUGUCUAUACUAUACUUUCGAUCAACCGUCCUAUGAGCACAACUUCAAACGCCUAGUGGAACAGGUGGUCAUAAUGUUAUGACUGAUGUGUAUUGGAAUAUAGUUUGUGCAUGUGGUAUGUUCAUGCAUGUUAUGUGUAUAGAUUUGUGUGUCUCUCUCUUGCUCUCUCUGCUGUAGUCCUGCAGGUGAGAGGUGGAAGGUUGGCUGCCAGCCUGUGGAUUGGCUCAUACUCCAGCCAAUCAGAGAAGGAGGGACAUUUGAAAAGCUUCAGUUGUGUUGCUCUCUCUCUCUCUCUCUCUCUCUCUCUCUCUCUCUCUCUUCUUUGUUGGAUAGGUAGGUUUGUGGUGGGGACUAGGGACCAAGGUAAGACUGGGGUACCCUCUACACCUGCACACGUAGACGCACUAUGUUAUCACAUUAGGUUAUGGGUUGCUGCCACGAUUGUAUUUUUAUUAUUUUUGGAUGUUUUUUAGCCAGUAGAGUCAGGCCUUUUGUUUUCUUUUCUUUUCACACAGAGAUAGUUGAGCUAGGCUCAUUUUGAUUGUAAUUUGUCUAUUUUAUAUGGCACAAGCCCCACCGGUCCCUCUCUCCCCCCACAUUGUUUGAAACCUACAUCUGUUGUGUACCUUUUCAUUUAAGUAUUGUAAAUAAAUCUCUUUUCUUUAACUGCC